RNAcentral lists this small RNA (410 nucleotides) under Pan troglodytes (chimpanzee). RNAcentral's name for it is "processed transcript". The record is from RNAcentral. Lineage: Eukaryota; Metazoa; Chordata; Mammalia; Primates; Hominidae.
UCGGAACGUUCCGAAGAUGACGUCGGAGCGUUCUCGAAUCCCGUGUCUCUCGGCUGCUGCUGCCGAAGGAACAGGGAAAAAGCAACAAGAAGGAAGAGCAAUGGCGACACUGGAUCGCAAAGUGCCCAGUCCGGAGGCGUUUCUGGGCAAACCCUGGUCCUCCUGGAUCGACGCCGCCAAAUUACACUGCUCCGACAAUGUAGAUUUAGAAGAGGCUGGAAAAGAGGGUGGAAAAAGCAGGGAGGUUAUGAGGCUUAAUAAAGAAGCAUGGAAAUACGGUACCUGAAAUGGGACACACUGAGUAGAUAGGUCAUCCCAGACCAAGAUAUGCAAGAGAAGCCACAACCUGCUGCAAUUGGGCAUCAAACACAUAUGGUCGUCAUAAAUAAAUCAUAUCCUGUUCUCAUUUG